Molecule: long non-coding RNA, 628 nt
Organism: Stegostoma tigrinum
Lineage: Eukaryota; Metazoa; Chordata; Chondrichthyes; Orectolobiformes; Stegostomatidae
Exons: 3
Source: RefSeq, a predicted model, not a curated record
CUCUAACUGCCCUCUCAGAUACAUGUAAAAUAUCGCAAACAGUUAUUGAAAGCAGAGCAAGUUCCUGGAGUUCUGGCCGAUUAGGUAAUCAAUCUUUUGAGUGCAUCAGGAUCUUGCACAGGCAGCAUGAUGGUACUGCUCCAGCAGCUGGAGGUGUCUGCUGUGGACAGCCCACAUCUCAGAGACAUAUAGGAGGGCAGCAACCACCACAGCUCUGUAUACCACAAACCUGGUGUCAGAAUGAAUGUUACUCAGCCUGCUAAAGCCACAAGGGACAUCCUGAGAGACAACCCGUUCGGAAUGGAACUCCCCUGCUCUGGGCAGCUGCCAUUGAAAAUGUGGAGGUACCACUUGUGGUCUGGAUCGCAAGGCAGUUUGGCCUGUCUGUUUGAAAGGGGCCAAGAGUGCUACAAGUGCUCUCAUCUUUGUUCUUUUGCAGCCCUGUGUUCAGUUUUAAAGCCCAAGCCUAUUUUUCAGAGAGUGGUAAUUGGAGAUUAGGGAAAGCAACUCGAGAUCAUGGCAGCCAGCCUCCCUGUGAAACUUGGGGUACACUGGCUCCCGUUGGUUGAUGAAUAAAUCUGUCAUUCUGCUGAGUUGAGCUAUCAAUAGAUUUGCUGGAUUUGUGCUG